CUACGGGAGGCAGCAGUGAGGAAUAUUGCACAAUGGAGGAAACUCUGAUGCAGCAACGCCGCGUGGAGGAUGACGCAUUUCGGUGUGUAAACUCCUUUUAUAUGUCAAGAAAAUGACGGUAGCAUAUGAAUAAGCACCGGCUAACUCCGUGCCAGCAGCCGCGGUAAUACGGAGGGUGCAAGCGUUACUCGGAAUCACUGGGCGUAAAGGACGCGUAGGCGGGAUAUCAAGUCAGGUGUGAAAUCCUACAGCUGAACUGUAGAACUGCACUGAAACUGGUAACCUAGAGUAUGGGAGGGGGAGAUGGAAUUAGUGGUGUAGGGGUAAAAUCCGUAGAUAUCACUAGGAAUACCUAAAGCGAAGGCGAUCUCCUGGAACAUAACUGACGCUAAGGCGUGAAAGCGUGGGGAGCAAACGGGAUUAGAUACCCGCGUAGUC
This 438-nucleotide ribosomal RNA is filed under the name uncultured bacterium. RNAcentral's name for it is "partial 16S ribosomal RNA". It matches the Rfam family "Bacterial small subunit ribosomal RNA", at positions 339 to 795 of the family's 1533-position model. The record is from RNAcentral.